CCUACGGGUGGCAGCAGUAGGGAAUCUUCCACAAUGGGCGAAAGCCUGAUGGAGCAACGCCGCGUGGGUGAAGAAGGCCUUCGGAUCGUAAAACACUGUUGUUAGAGAAGAAAGUGUUUGAGAGUAACUGUUCACGUUUCGACGGUAUCUAACCAGAAAGCCACGGCUAACUACGUGCCAGCAGCCGCGGUAAUACGUAGGUGGCAAGCGUUAUCCGGAGUUAUUGGGCGUAAAGGGCACGCAGGCGGUCUUUUAAGUCUGAUGUGAAAGCCUUCGGCUAAACCGGGGUAGUGCAUUCGAAACUGGGAGGCUUGAGUGCAGAAGAGGGGAGUAGAACUCCAUGUGUAGCGGUGAAAUGCGUAGAUAUAUGGAGGAACACCAGUGGCGAAGGCGGCUCUCUGGUC
Molecule: ribosomal RNA, 404 nt
Filed under: uncultured bacterium
Lineage: Bacteria
Description: partial 16S ribosomal RNA
Rfam family: Bacterial small subunit ribosomal RNA
Source: RNAcentral